UUGAUCCUGGCUCAGGACGAACGCUGGCGGCGUGCUUAACACAUGCAAGUCGAACGGAAAGGCCCUUCGGGGUACUCGAGUGGCGAACGGGUGAGUAACACGUGGGUGAUCUGCCCUGCACUUUGGGAUAAGCCUGGGGAACUGGGUCUAAUACCGAAUAUGACCACGCUCUUCAUGGGGUGUGGUGGAAAGCUUUUGCGGUGUGGGAUGGGCCCGCGGCCUAUCAGCUUGUUGGUGGGGUAAUGGCCUACCAAGGCGACGACGGGUAGCCGGCCUGAGAGGGUGACCGGCCACACUGGGACUGAGAUACGGCCCAGACUCCUACGGGAGGCAGCAGAAGGG
This 342-nucleotide ribosomal RNA is filed under the name uncultured Mycobacterium sp. RNAcentral's name for it is "bacterial SSU rRNA". It matches the Rfam family "Bacterial small subunit ribosomal RNA", at positions 13 to 359 of the family's 1533-position model. The record is from RNAcentral. Lineage: Bacteria; Bacillati; Actinomycetota; Actinomycetes; Mycobacteriales; Mycobacteriaceae.